GUCAAAAUGACUUUUCUUCUCAUUUCUGUUCUUUGCAGAAUGUGAACAUUCAAAGAAGCUAGAGUAACAUAAACAAGAGUAACACCACCACGGUUGUUAAGGAAAUAUCAUUAUAUUUCUACAGGCUCAGCGGGUCAGAAGGAGGGUGGACUACUAUGUAAAGACUAUUUCACAGGCUCGGGGAAUUUCUCAGGCAAUAUAACUUGUUCAAGGUGUGAAACAGGAUCUGAACCCAGGUGGUCUUGCUCAGUGUGAAGUAUGAUAGCAAUUAUCUCAGGUAGAAACUGCAGUUUUUAACCUUAACUUUAACCCUGCUGUUUGGCCUCUGUAAUUAUUUGCUUGCUAAAAUAAUAGAAAAGUUAUUUUGAUUUUCUGAACUUAUGUAUGCUAUCCCAAUCGAUUGAAUACUCAAUUGAUGGUGGUUUGAAUAUCCCAUUGAUUGUGAUCUCACCGGUUAUUGAAGCACAUUCUCCUGGAAACCAGGACAGCACAAUGACCCUAAAUUGCCUCAGUAGCUACAGAUAAUGCAUUACAGUUAACUCAGUGGUCCCAGAAUCUGGACAGCACAAUUAUUCUAAACUAGAGGUCUGGUGUACGACAUUCAUGGACUGAGAGGGGGAUGCAAGUGGGGGAGGGGGAGGGGAGCCUGUGCCUUUUAGCAAUCCCUCAGUCCAGCCUGCGCACCUUUAGCAGUUCAGAAGUUCCUUGAAGGGAGUGGGCUUAAGCUGUCAAUUGACAUCCUUAGCACUGCCAGGAAGGCAGGAGAGGCUCCUGUCACUGCAGCUGCGCUUGCCAGCCUCGGUCAGCCAGGCUUGUGGCUGAGCAGCGCUCCC
Long non-coding RNA from Pipistrellus kuhlii (Kuhl's pipistrelle), 833 nucleotides. RefSeq lists it as uncharacterized. The transcript has 3 exons. The record is from RefSeq and is a predicted model, not a curated record. Lineage: Eukaryota; Metazoa; Chordata; Mammalia; Chiroptera; Vespertilionidae.